CCCGUCUGGAACCCAAACCACUGGAGUCCUGCUCUACGCCCGAGGAGCUUGCGGGAGGAGAUCCGGCAAGAGCAAAGCCCUUCCUCCCGCCCUCCUACCCCUGAGGGGUCGCCUGCAAGCAGCUGGCACUGCAUGGUGCAGGGUGAAUCCCUGCGGAGGUCCUGGGCAUGCAGGCGCUUCCAGGUCCCCACCACACCCCAGGGACUGGGCCAUCUGGUACUGGGCGUUGUCAGCUUGCUUUCCUAGGUUGGGGACUGUUAGGGGUCGCUGGCUCAGUUGUGGCUCGCCAAUAGCUCCCAGAAAAAAUGCUCCGCAGACACGAGAUGUCACGCAAGAGACUUUAUUUAUGCGGACCACUCACAUCCACCUGGGCGAGAAGAAAGGAAAAAAAGAGAAAGAUGGCGUAUGGCUCCUCCUAGAUAUUGGAAUCUCGCGGGCUGGAAGGAACCAAUCUUGGAGGAGAAUUCUUGCAGACUGACUGAUGAACCAAUAGCAUGUUAGGACAUAACGUGAGAGGCAGGAAGUUGGCACCAGCGUAAACCGGAAAUUCCUGUAACGUAAGAGUUGAAUGAAAGAAUCCAGACAACAGAAGAAUACAUGAGUCUAAAAGCAGCACGCCAGCACAAUUAAUCUCUGUGGAAAAGACAGGAGACCAGCUACUUCAGUAAUGCCUGACCAGGGUUAUCGAGAAGGUACCGCUGGGUUGCUGAAAGGUCCAUGUCUUUGUUUUUGGUGGUGAUUUCAUGGUUGUGUUCAUCUUGCAAAAAUUCAUAAAGCUAUACCUAUAUAAUUUG
Long non-coding RNA from Sciurus carolinensis (gray squirrel), 794 nucleotides. RefSeq lists it as uncharacterized. The transcript is spliced from 2 exons. The record is from RefSeq and is a predicted model, not a curated record. Lineage: Eukaryota; Metazoa; Chordata; Mammalia; Rodentia; Sciuridae.